This 319-nucleotide ribosomal RNA is filed under the name uncultured eukaryote. RNAcentral describes it as "partial 18S ribosomal RNA". It matches the Rfam family "Eukaryotic small subunit ribosomal RNA", at positions 1470 to 1796 of the family's 1831-position model. The record is from RNAcentral.
CCCUUAGAUGAUUUGGGCUGCACGCGCGCUACACUGACCCUAACAAUGAGCAACUGUCUGGCCUGAGAUGGCUGGGUAGCCUUUUCAACCCAUGUCAUGAUUGGGCUAGAUUUUUGUAAGUCUUGAUCUCUAACGAGGAAUCCCUAGUAUGCGUGAAUCAUCAAUCCAUGCAGAUUAUGUCCCUGCCCUUUGUACACACCGCCCGUCGCUCCUACUGAUUGGGUGAUCCGGUGAGCUGUUCGGCCAUAGCAAUGUUUCUUGAGCAGGGCAAUGAAUGUGUCGCAAACCUUGCCACUUAGAGGAAGGAGAAGUCGUAACA